Molecule: ribosomal RNA, 372 nt
Filed under: uncultured bacterium
Lineage: Bacteria
Description: bacterial SSU rRNA
Rfam family: Bacterial small subunit ribosomal RNA
Source: RNAcentral
ACAGAGGGUGCGAGCGUUAAUCGGAAUUACUGGGCGUAAAGCGCGCGUAGGUGGCUUUGUAAGUCGGAUGUGAAAUCCCCGGGCUCAACCUGGGAACUGCAUUCGAAACUGCAUUGCUAGAGUAUGGAAGAGGGAAGUGGAAUUUCCGGUGUAGCGGUGAAAUGCGUAGAUAUCGGAAGGAACACCAGUGGCGAAAGCGACCUCCUGGUCCAAUACUGACACUCAAGUGCGAAAGCGUGGGGAGCAAACAGGAUUAGAUACCCUGGUAGUCCACGCCAUAAACGAUGAGAACUAGAUGUUGGGGGGGUUAGCCUCCCGGUGUCGCAGCUAACGCGUUAAGUUCUCCGCCUGGGGAGUACGGCCGCAAGGUUG